GCGGUAUUUUAGUCUAUUAGAGGAACCUGUUUUAUAAUUGAUAAUCCACGAUUAAUUAUACUUUAUUUUUAAAUUUGUAUAUCGUCGUAUUAAGAAUAUUUUAUAAUUUAAUAUUUUCAGAUCAAGGUGCAGUUUAUAUUAAAGUAAAAAUGGGUUACAAUAAAAAUUUAUAAUAAAUUGGAUUUGAAAGUAAGCUCUAAAAUAUGUACAUAUCGCCCGUCGCUUUCAUUAUAAAAUGAAAUAAGUCGUAACAAAGUAGGUUUAUUGGAAAAUGUACCUAGAAUGCAAAUUAGAGCUUGAUAAGUAUUUUAUUUACACUAAAAAGUUAAUUGUUAAAUUCAAUUUAAUUUGAAUUUUAUAAUUUAUUUAUAUUUUAAUUUUAAGAUUUUUAAUUAGAAAACUUAGUUUUUUAUUUUUUUAAAGAAAAAAUUUUAUAAUAGUUAAUAGUAUUGUGAAAGAAAAUUUAAAUAUUUUAAAAAGAAAAUUUAAUUUAUUGUACCUUGUGUAUCAGGGUUUAUUAAUUUAUAGUUCUCGAAUUUAAAAGAGUUAAUUUUAUUGUAAAAUAAAUAUUUAUAAUUAUUAUUUAGUAAUGAGACGUUAUUCGUUUUUAAAUAUAUCUAGUUUUUUAAGAAAUAAAUUUAAUUUAUUAAUUAAUAAUAAUAUUAAAAGGGAUAAGCUUUUAAAUAAAAUUUUAUAAAAUUAUUUUAAUUUAAAAAUUAUAGGAUUAGAAUUUUUCAUUUGUAAGAAAAUGUUAUAGUUAAAAUUUUUAAAUUUUAUAUUAAAAUAUUAAUUUAAAUAAAUUAUAUUAAGUAAUAAUGAUAAAAUUAGUAAAAUUAAUAUAAGGAAUUCGGCAAAUUAAUUUUCCACCUGUUUAAUAAAAACAUGUCUUUUUGAUAAUAAUUUAAAGUCUGACCUGCCCACUGAUUUAAUGGCCGCAGUAUUUUGACUGUGCAAAGGUAGCAUAAUCAUUAGUUUUUUAAAUGAAAGCUGGUAUGAAUGGUUUGAUGAGAAAAAAGCUGUCUCUAGAAAUUUAUAUUUAAGUUAAAAAGCUUAAAUUAUUUAAAUAGACGAGAAGACCCUAUAGAGUUUGGUUUAUUUUUAAUUUUAAAUUAUUCU
This 1116-nucleotide ribosomal RNA is filed under the name Orthocerodes australis. RNAcentral's name for it is "partial 16S ribosomal RNA". Lineage: Eukaryota; Metazoa; Arthropoda; Insecta; Coleoptera; Zopheridae. The record is from RNAcentral.